GUAAAUAUAGUUUAACCAAAACAUUAGAUUGGGGAUCUAACCAUAGAGGCCUGCACUUUUUAUUUACC
This 68-nucleotide transfer RNA is filed under the name Macaca fascicularis (crab-eating macaque). RNAcentral describes it as "tRNA-His". Lineage: Eukaryota; Metazoa; Chordata; Mammalia; Primates; Cercopithecidae. The record is from RNAcentral.